This 449-nucleotide ribosomal RNA is filed under the name uncultured Verrucomicrobiaceae bacterium. RNAcentral describes it as "bacterial SSU rRNA". It matches the Rfam family "Bacterial small subunit ribosomal RNA", at positions 29 to 476 of the family's 1533-position model. The record is from RNAcentral. Lineage: Bacteria; Pseudomonadati; Verrucomicrobiota; Verrucomicrobiia; Verrucomicrobiales; Verrucomicrobiaceae.
AACGAACGCUGGCGGCGUGUUUAAGACAUGCAAGUCGCACGGGGCGGAUCAGGUAGCAAUAUUUGGUUCGUUCAGUGGCGCACGGGUGAGUAACACGUGAAUCACAUGCCCUUCAGUGGGGGAUAGCCCAGGGAAACUUGGAUUAAUACCCCAUGGUCUCGCAAGAGUAAAGGCGGCCGUUAAGGCAGUCGCUGGAGGAUUGGUUCGCGCCCUAUCAGCUUGUUGGCGGGGUAACGGCCCACCAAGGCUACGACGGGUACCUGGUCUGAGAGGACGAUCAGGCACACUGGAACUGAGACACGGUCCAGACACCUACGGGUGGCAGCAGUCGAGAAUAAUUCACAAUGGGGGCAACCCUGAUGGUGCAACGCCGCGUGGAGGAUGACGGUCUUCGGAUUGUAAACUCCUGUCAUCCGGGAGUAAGACCUGGCGGUUAACAGCCGACAGGG